RNAcentral lists this ribosomal RNA (309 nucleotides) under Triticum aestivum (bread wheat). RNAcentral describes it as "partial small subunit ribosomal RNA". The record is from RNAcentral. Lineage: Eukaryota; Viridiplantae; Streptophyta; Magnoliopsida; Poales; Poaceae.
AUGUUGGGCUGGCCACUGUACGCGGAGCACAGGAUGAACAAGGUGCUCAUGGUGGAUGAUCUGAGGAUCGCGGUGGAGAUGAUUGGGUGGCAGCAGGGGCUGGUCCAGGCCGACGAGGUGGAGGCUAAGGUUAGGCUUGUGAUGGAGUCCGACACAGGCAGGGAACUCCAGGAGUGAGUGUCUGUUCACCAGAAAGGCGCCGCCAUGGCCUGGAGCAACGGUGGCUCGUCAUGGUCGGCUUUUGAGCGAUUCCUGUCGGACAUGAACUGCCGCUAUGGAGCCUCUGCUGGACAGUCCAUGUACCCUUGA